GAUGAAGAACGCAGCGAAAUGCGAUAAGUAGUGUGAAUUGCAGAAUUCAGUGAAUCAUCGAAUCUUUGAACGCACAUUGCGCCCUUUGGUAUUCCUUAGGGCAUGCUUGUUCGAGCGUCAUUUAAACCUUCAAGCUCAGCUUGGUGUUGGGUGACUGUCCGCUUCACCGCGGACUCGCCUCAAAAUUAUUGGCGGCCGGUACAUUGGCUUCGAGCGCAGCAGAAACGCGAACUCGGGCCCGUCGUAUUGGCUCCCAGAAGCUAUCUUCACAAUUUUGACCUCGGAUCAGGUAGGGAUACCCGCUGAACUUAAGCAUAUCAAUAAGCGGAGGA
Molecule: unclassified non-coding RNA, 332 nt
Filed under: soil metagenome
Description: partial contains 5.8S ribosomal RNA, internal transcribed spacer 2, and large subunit ribosomal RNA
Rfam family: 5.8S ribosomal RNA (bases 1-120)
Source: RNAcentral